Molecule: RNA transcript, 1858 nt
Organism: Symsagittifera roscoffensis
Lineage: Eukaryota; Metazoa; Xenacoelomorpha; Acoela; Convolutidae
Exons: 5
Source: RefSeq, a predicted model, not a curated record
CGCUUUGAUAAAUUAUUUAUCACAUUAGAAUAUUAUAAUGGAGUACCAACAAUUUGACAAAGCAUCAAAAAUUGAACUGAAAAUUUUCAAGAGGUUGAGAAGUUCGAGUCCUUAUGUCUACUAUACAUUACAAAAUCUCUACAUCCGAUUUGCCGUCGCAUCAGUUUAUGCCUUCUUUGGGCAGUAUCUCAAUGUGGACGCCCACCAGUUACAAAGCUUGGACAAUCUCAUUCGCAAUGUCUCGAGUUUGAAAAACCUUUUCUCAUUCAUCAGUGACUCGGUGCCAAUUUGUGGACUAAGACGUCUUCCUUACGUUUUGAUUGGUCUUUUCAUGAUACUUGCAUGCAGCACAAUCAUGUUUUUUCGACCAAUACCUGAACCGUAUUUCGAAUCCUACAAUGAAGUGGACGAAGAUGGAAACUCGAAUUGCUCACGUGAUUUGAAUGUAAUUCGCAAUCCUGAAGCUCACAAUCGUGCUUUAGAUUAUGCCACACUUUUCAUGGUUGCCUUUAUUGGUCUAGCCUUUUCGGAUUGCUGCAUGGAUGCAUUUACAGCCCAAAGAACCUCCCUUGAAGAGGAAACAAAUCGAGGAUCCAUUUUAUUGAAAAUAUCGGUAGUGAAACGCUUUUCAGCAGCAGUUUUUGCUUCCAUCUUUGCGAUCUUGUACAAUCAAAUUGACUACGGAGGCCACUUUUGUCCUUUCGGAGUUAAAUUGAACCAACUUGCUCUUAUCGUUGCAAUUGGAUGUAUAAUAGCGAUUGUAUAUGUGACGAUGUUCACUAAUGAGCGCGACUAUGAAUCAAAUCAGAAUGUGAAGUUGCGGGAGAAUCUCUUGCUUUUUUGGAACUUUCUUCAAACUCCUCAUUUUUUGAUGUUAGUGGGGAAUCGUAUCAUUCUAGCGCAUCUUUUUGGGUUUAGAACUCCGGCAAAAAGCAAGGUUGAAAUUCGAUGGUUGAAAGUCGAACCACUCACGAAAGGAAUGCAGGAAGCUCUGUUGAACAUCCUCAAAGCAGUUGGUUCGUGGAUCUACAUGAAGUAUUUUAUCAACUUCAAUUGGCGAAAAACUGUCGUUAUUCUGAUUCUAAUUGAUCUCGGGUUAAAAGCUCUUUUCCAACCAUUGGCCGUGUUAGGAGUAAUAAGAAGUCAGUAUUUCUGGAAUGCAGAUGACGAAGUCACUGGAAUCUUUGCUCCUUGGUUUACUUUGAUCUAUACUUUCGUUGUGGUUGAGUAUACUCCCAGAAACCUAGAAGGAACAACUGUGGCUUUUCUUUGGAGCGUAGCGCCCUGUAUUGGCUCAGUUGAAAUCGCUCCCAACAAAUUAAACAAUCAGCUGUAGAAAACCUCGAACAUCAUAUUGACUUAAUCAUUCAUAUCAAAUCAAGAGAUCUUCUAUAAAGGCUAAAAGCACCGUACUCGGAAACAUGUUCUUCAGUUUUUUCGAUAUCAUGGACGACAGCCGGUACCUGCGCGACUCCAAAGAAGACCGUUUUUUGAUAUUUUCUACAUUCGCCAUUGAUUGGUUUUUUUCAAUCAUCACUGUUUUCUUCGUAUUCUUGUUGCCCACUCAGAAACCCAUGGCUCAAAAAUGGCGACAGGAAGGAGAAUCAGUUAGAUACAGAAAGUGUGCAAAGGUGCUGCUAACUUUUAUUUGCCUGAGUUUCGUGUACUCGCUGAUUGUUUCAGCUCUGACUUUUUUCGAACAGACGAGGUGUCUUAUGAUUGCUGGCGGCUCUGGAUGCUAGAAGAAUGAGCCAUGUCAGAAUGACUGCACUAUUUUUCAUAGAGUGUAUUAGAUAUCUCUAGAGCUUUUUAGAGAGUCUCUGAGGUAAUUCUUACAAUUAGGGUCAAUGAACAAAUA